GAUGAAGAACGUAGCGAAAUGCGAUAAGUAAUGUGAAUUGCAGAAUUCAGUGAAUCAUCGAAUCUUUGAACGCACAUUGCGCCCGCCAGUAUUCUGGCGGGCAUGCCUGUUCGAGCGUCAUUUCAACCCUCAAGCCCCAGCGGCCUGGUGUUGGGGACCGGCGACCUCGCCCGAGCCCGCCCUCCGGGGCGCGUGCCCGGUGCGUCCGCCGCCCCCGAAAUGAAUUGGCGGCCUCGUCGCGGCCUCCUCUGCGUAGUAGCACAACCUCGCAAGCGGGAGCGCGACGCGGCCACUGCCGUAAAACGCCCAACUUUUUUAGAGUUGACCUCGGAUCAGGUAGGAAUACCCGCUGAACUUAAGCAUAUCAAUAAGCGGAAGGA
This 380-nucleotide unclassified non-coding RNA is filed under the name soil metagenome. RNAcentral describes it as "partial contains 5.8S ribosomal RNA, internal transcribed spacer 2, and large subunit ribosomal RNA". The stretch from base 1 to 120 matches the Rfam family "5.8S ribosomal RNA", at positions 35 to 154 of the family's 154-position model. The record is from RNAcentral.